Long non-coding RNA from Microtus oregoni (creeping vole), 532 nucleotides. RefSeq lists it as uncharacterized. The transcript has 4 exons. The record is from RefSeq and is a predicted model, not a curated record. NCBI's taxonomy places the organism in Eukaryota, Metazoa, Chordata, Mammalia, Rodentia, Cricetidae.
CACGCUUAGAAACAAAUUAGAUGCUUCCCGCUGUUCCCAGUAGUCCUGGUUCAUGGUUGAUAAGGCAUAAACAUGGGAUGGACCGCAUGAACAUAUGAAGGAUGAAAGUGACUACCGAGUAAUGCUCUCAGGGAAACACAAGAGCCAUCGGGAAGCUUUAAAACUCCACUUCCCUGGACAGACGGAACUUCAACAGAAAGAGCGAGCUACCAACUUGCUUUAUGAAGGUGGACCUGCACAUUCCCGGCAAUAAAGCCAGGUGAACCAAUACAUCCAGCUUACACCAUCAAGAGCUGGUGUCCACAGAAGGCCAGUGACUCAUACAACAGCACAGUAGCCCUGACAGAAAUAAGGAGACAUCCUGAGGGUGGAGUUGCUCCAAAGGUCUGAUCUGCGCCAUGAUGCUCUUUUAGGGACCAGAAAGAGUCCAUUGGUCCAGACUCCUUGACUGAGCAUGGAAACGUGGGUUUUGACAGUGGCUGGGGACACCAGGGUCCCCUUGUUUGAGGGGAAAGAUGGGCAAAUAAAUGGA